This 7210-nucleotide long non-coding RNA is filed under the name Zostera marina. Its description in RNAcentral is "long non-coding RNA (ZMAR_LNC002836)". Lineage: Eukaryota; Viridiplantae; Streptophyta; Magnoliopsida; Alismatales; Zosteraceae. The record is from RNAcentral.
UUCAUAGAAAAUCCUCAUUCAUCAAAGUAGACGAUAUGGAGAAAGACGACUAUAGUGAUCCUGAAGCAACUCCGUUGAUCGAUGUAAGUGAAUUUCGUCGUCGGUCUUUUUACCGAGCCAUAAUCGCCGAGUUUGUAGCAACAUUAUUUUUCCUAUACAUCUCUGUCACUGCAUUGAUCGGGUACAAAAACGAACCAGACAAAUGCAACAGCAUAAGUCUGCUUGGAAUCGCAUGGGUGUUCGGAGGCAUGAUUUUCGUACUAGUCUAUUGCACCGCUGGUAUCUCCGGAGGUCAUCUCAAUCCAGCAGUUACCUUCGGAAUGCUCAUCGCACGGAAAUUAUCUCUUCCACGUGCCGUCAUGUACAUGGCGGCACAGUUUCUCGGUGCAGUUUGUGGGGUUGGCUUUGCCAAAGCCAUCUCUGGAUCAGACAACUACACUUAGGUAGGAGGAGCUACUAAUUCCAUAUCAUCUGGAUACACUAAAGGUUCUGCACUAGGAGUAGAGAUUCUGGGAACUUUCCUUCUGGUUUUCACUGUUUUCUCCGCGACUGAUCCCAAGAGAAAAGCCAGAGACUCUCACGUCCCGAUCCUCGCACCAUUGGUUAUAGGAUUUGCCGUCUUCAUGGUGCACUUAGGGACGAUUACUAUUGGAGGAACGGGCAUUAAUCCGGCUAGGAGCUUUGGGGCGGCUGUUAUUUAUAAUAACCACAAGGCUUGGACUGAACUUGUAUGUACAUCUCUUCAACCCUUUCUUUUUUUUUCUUUUUUUUAUAGAAAAGCAUUUGCCCUCUAAUUUUAAAACUUACACAUAUUAUUUUCAUUUUAUAUUUUCUACUUUACCUAUCUCAUGUUGAUUCUACGUAUCUUUAUAAAAUGUACGUUCAGGAUAUGAGUUGUAGAAAAAAACUUCAACCAACUUAAUGUGUGGUCUUUUUCAUCUUUUAACCGAAAAAAACUUAUCCCACAUAAUAAAUUUACCUUUUAUCAAGUUACAGCUUUGUCCUUGUAAGAACUAUCCAUUUUUUUACCUACUUAUUGAUUUUUGUUGCUGUUAAUUAUAUUUUACAGUGGGUCUUUAUACUUGGACCGUUGAUUGGAUCGUUUAUAGCAACAGGGUUUCACCAGAUUAUCAUUCGAGCAUCGAACUUCGAAAGGAUUGUCAAUUCCUUUGCAACCCCAUGAAUUGAAAAGAAUAUAUAGUUUCUCAAUGAACAUCUAAAUUUUGUAUUUUGUAUGUUCAAUUACUCAAAAUUUGAUUUACCUUGUUGACCAAUGUUUUACACUCUUCAAAACCAAUUCAUUUAAUCUAGAUUAUAAAAUAGGCAACAGUUGUAGUCCUACAUGUUGAAGAUAAGUGGUACAUUAGUAUAGGAUAGACCAUAAUAGGUAAUUAAGGAAAAUAUAUAAUUCACUAUGACAUCCUAAUAAUUAGUAAUAAUUAUAAUAAGAAACAUGAAGAUUAGAAAUCAUUAAACUAUUAAUAAUUAGUACUAAUAAAGUGGGUAAAUUACGCUAGACAUUCUGACAGUAGUACAAAUCUGGCAGUAGUACAAAUCUGACAAACAGUACAGACGAAUAUGUACAGUAGUACAGACGAAUAUAUGUAGACGCAAUCGCAUCGUUAUUAAAGACGGAAAAAAAUGAAAAACGACUUUAUGAAUAGUGAUUUGGAAUGACUGGUUGGCAGCUAAUUGUCUCCAUGCCUCGAGAUGAUGUCCAAUGGUGGUUCAAUAACUGAAAAACUGGUAGUACGAAAAGUUGACCUUUCGAUUUGAUUUAGAGCCACGUAAAUCGUUCAAAUAGGUGCAGAUGUAUUUGAAAUUAGUUGGGUUGAGUUGGAUAUUGGUCAUGAUACUUAACUGACUAGGUGCAGAUGUAUUUGACUUGUAGAUUUAAUUAUUAUUUAUUAUAGAAUAAGACAUAAUGAAUCUUCUAUAAAUAUCCAAAAUUCAUAGAAAAUGGUUCAUAUAGCAGAAUACAAUGGUUCAUAGAAAAUCCUCAUUCAUCAAAGUAGACGAUAUGGAGAAAGACGACUAUAGUGAUCCUGAAGCAACUCCGUUGAUCGAUGUAAGUGAAUUUCGUCGUUGGUCUUUUUACCGAGCCAUAAUCGCCGAGUUUGUAGCAACAUUAUUUUUCCUAUACAUCUCUGUCACUGCAUUGAUCGGGUACAAAAACGAACCAGACAAAUGCAACAGCAUAAGUCUGCUUGGAAUCGCAUGGGUGUUCGGAGGCAUGAUUUUCGUACUAGUCUCACUAUAAGAAAAGAGGUCUACAGCGACGAUUUUAGCGACGAUUUUGGAUCGUCGUUAAAUUACAAGAAGGAUUUUGAAGAAAACCCGCGAUAUUCGUCGUUGAUUAUCUUUUUUUUUGUUUAAUUAGCGAUGAUAUGUUGAUGAUCGUCGUUAGAUAUAACAUUUAGCGACGAUUUAAAAUUUAUCAUCGCUAAUAAUGCGGACCUAUUUAUAAAAUUUUAAAAAAAUAAGGUAUUAUUUAUAAAUUUCCCAAAAGUAAUGUUAUUUCCCCCCCAAAUCGAUUUCCCCCCAAAACUCCCAAAACCCAAUUUAUUAAAUUAGGACCAAUUUAUUAAAUUACCCAAUUAAAUUCCCAAAUUUCCCCAAAUACUUCCCCUAAACCUAAACCCUCCAUUUACCCCAAAUUUUUCCCAAAUUAAAAUACUAAAGUUGAUUAUUUAAAGGUUAAAAAUUUAAAAUACCCAUUUAUAAAAUAAGUAUUUAAACCCAAACCCCUAAAUUAAACUCACCGAAAAAACCCCAAAUCCUACAUCGUCUUUUCUUCCCUCCUUACACUCUCCGGCGAUUUUCCAAUCCAACCUCUGUCGACGUGGCGAGGAGUUCCUCCGGUGACAGAAGCGACUUUCCUCUGGUGAGUUUUAUUUACCUUUGGCCGUAGACUUUCCUCUGGCCGUGUUCUUAUUAUCUAAAUUUACUCUACUGUCAAGUAUCUCAUAACUCAAGUCAUUAUUUCUAACACAAUCUCUUACCCAACUCACAAGAUCACCAUCACCAUCACAUCCACUUCCUUCUAAUUGUUGUAUAGAUUUUCUCCCUGUCACCCAGUUCUAGCAAAACAACUCCGUAGCUAUAGAUAUCACUUUUCUCUGUUACCUUCAUUGUAUAUGCAUAUUCUGCAGGGAAAGAAAUCACAAAAACAAAACAAAAGGUGUUAUUAUAAUUGCAAAUUUGCAUAUUCCAAUCUCAUUUCCCUCCAUUUCAUUUCCCCUAAUCUUGUUUCCCCCCAUUUCAUUUUCCCCAAUCUCAUUUCCUCCAAUAUUUUCCCCUGGCUUCAAUAUUACAACAUCGUUUCUUUCCCAUUCUUUCAGCCUAACCUUCCACAACCCUCAAUAAUCCAUCACUUCCAUGAUCGUGACCUAACCUUCCACAACAUUUAUGGACUGAGACAACAUAUUCCAGAAACGCUAAGUAAUUAAUACAUCAAUUUGAUUCUUCUUUGGUUUUCUAUAUUCUUCUUUUUCAUUUAGGCUUUUCAUUUUCUAUUUUUCCUCUUUUAUUCCUUAAUCUUCCUCUCUUCCUCUUACAUUCUCUUCUUUUUCCAUUUUAUUCUUCAUCGUUUAAUCUUUCUCUUUUUCUCAUUCUUGUUCAAGAUUUUCUGCUUUAAAACCUAGAUAUUGAAAAAUAAUUUUAGGGUUUGUCAUUCUUUUUAAUACUGUUUCGUUUUUGAUGCAACAAGUUUUUUUAUUGAAUUUGUUGGUAUAAAAUCUACUUCAAAAAGGAAUUGGUUCUAUCGAAUGUUUUGUAAGUCUAAUGUUUAAAACAGUAAAUAAAGAAUUUGGAUAUAAAGUAAAUAGAUCAUGUGUCACAACAUCUUAUCAUUUGAAUCUGUUAUCUUUAUCUUUUAAAUGGCCAAGUGUUAAAAAACUGUAAUUUGGGUAUAAGGAAUUUCCAAUGUUCUUCAACACCUGUCCGCCAUGUGCCAUGACAUCUUAUGUGAAUUCAUUAUCUUUUCAUUUUAGAUGACCAACUGUCAAAAAUCUGUAAUUUGUAAAAUAAUUUAUACGUAUUUUGUAAAUAUUAUAAUUGCUUAUGUAGGUAUCUACAUCUAUUUUUAAGGUUACGUUAUAUAUGAAAUAUAUUUUAUCAAUUUUGGCAUUCUAUUUAGCAUUAUGUUUUGCUUGUAUAUAUAAAUCUUAAAUGUUUUGCUGAUUUUUUUCUUUUAAAAUUUUAAAUGUUGUUUGAUUAUUAUUUUUUCAUUUUCAGAUUGAUUAGAAGAAGAAUAUAAAAAGCAAAGAAGGUAUCUUGUCAUUUAUUUAAUUUUAAGAUUUUAAAUCUAGGUUCUCAAAAUAACUUUGAUUUUAGAAAUGUCCAUACUCAAUAAUUCAUUCUCUGCACACUUGGAUCUCCUUUCUGUAUUUUUUUACAUAUUUGGGCAUUAUUUUGCUGAUUUGCUUGUAUUUUUUUUUCAUAUUUGGGGUUUUCAUUUUUAUUAGCAUUAUGUUGUUGUUGCUGAUUUGCUUGCUGAAUUCCUUAGCAUUUCAUUUAGCAUUAUGUUUGAUUAUAUAUAAAUCUUAAAUGUUUGUUGCUGAUUUAUUUGCUUGCUAAUGUUUGUAUUUUGCUUCUAUAUAUAAAUCUUAAUUGUUUUGCUGAUUUUUUUUUUAAAAUUUUAAAUGUUGUCUGAUUUUUUUUUUCUUUUUCAGAUUGAUUAGAAGAAGAAUAUAAAAGGCAAAAAAGGUAUCUUGUCAUUUAUUUAAUUUUAAGAUUUUAAAUCUAGGUUCUCAAAAUAACUUUGAUUUUAGAAAUAUCCAUACUCAAUAAUUCAUUCUCUGCACACUUAGAUCUCAUUCAACUAUCAAUAUCUCAUUUAUCCCUUUCAAUCAUUUCUGGUUAUGGAGUAUUAUAUCUCAUGAGAAUGAUUCAUAUGAGACAUCUUGGAUAAUGAGAUAUAACAUCUCAUUCGUUCCAUUUAUCCAACUUAUCUCUUCCCAAAAGUAAUGUUAUCCCCCCCUCCAAAUCGAUUUCCCCCCAAAACCCCCAAAACCCAAUUUAUUAAAUUAGGACCAAUUUAUUAAAUUACCCAAUUAAAUUACCAAAUUUCCCCAAAUACUUCCCCUAAACCUAAACCGUCCAUUUACCCCAAAUUUUUCCCAAAUUUCCCCAAAUGGGGACUAAUAAUGGACAAGUUUUUGGCACCAGAGUUCGUAGAAAAAUCAAAAAAGAAUUCAGCAAAUCGAACUAAAAACGACGAUUAUUUGGUGUACAAGGGUGGAUCGGCUUCUUUUGAAGCCAACUCUCAUGCAUUAGUAAGUUUAUAUUUUAAAUUCAUUUCAAUUUAAAUAUUUUAUGAAUUAUUUUAACUAGAUUUUUUCGUAUAGAGUCUCAAAUUAGGUCGAAAACCGUCAUUUCAAGAGGCAUUCUUGUCAACUCAUACGCCGUUAAAUGAUAGAGGAAAAACUAUGAUGGUGAGUGAUCAUUUAUUAAUUAUUUAUAAUAUAUUUAUUUUUUCUUAAUUAUUUCAUAUUUGAUUUUCGUAAAGGCCGAAUACGAAAAUUUGAAUGAAGAACUUCGAAGACAAGAAGACAGUGAUUCUGAUUCUGAUGACGAUAGCGAAGAUGAAAAUUUAUCGUCUCAAGGUUCAACUACAUUUCAUACGAAGCCUCUGUUUAAAAACGAUCAUAUUGGACCUUGGCUGAAAGCAUCAAAGAGAAAGAAAAAUGGGCGCAUUCUAGGAUUUAGAGUUGGCAAUGACUCUAUGUUAUCAAAUAAGAGGAGAAAGAAAAUGAGCAAUGAGGAAACUGAGAAGCACAACACUGAAAAAUUUGAAUUGGCAGUUUCCAAAGCCGUUGGAAAACGAAUGGAAGCGUUCGAAAUAGAAAACGAAAAACGAUUUAAAAUGAUGGAACGGUUAAUUGACAAUAUACAUGUGAGUUUAAUAAAUAUUUUUAAAUUAGUUUUUAAAUUUAUUAAUUUUUGAAUAUCUUCAUUUAUUUUCAGGCUAAUGCUACAAGCAACGACUCGAAUCGUCCAUCAUCGAGUAAUGUUCCUGUUUCUUCUCAGUUGAACCAACUUAUUCCAUUAUCGAGAAAUUAUUGGGAAGAAGAUACUACUUUGAAUUCGACACCUCGACCAAAAGGUAAGACUUUAGAUAUUUCCAAUAUUGUUCAACAAAAAAAAUUAUAAAACACUUACCUCUAUUGUAAUUGAAACACUUAACUCUAUUGUAAUUGUAAUCUCCAUUAUAACUCUAUUAUCUCUAAUAAACAAUUAAUCUAAUUUGUGAUUCAUUUGUGAUUCAAUAUGUCAAAUUUGUAUGAUUGAAUGUAUGUGAUUAGUGUGAUCGAUUGAAUGUAUGUGAUUGGUGUGAAUUGAAUUGUAUUUGCAGGUAUUAAAUUGUAUUUAGGGUUGAAUUGUAUUUGCAUGUAUUUACAGGUAUGAUUGAAUAGUAAGGCUCUAAAUGAGCACCCAUAUAAAUAAAACAUUUUUUUUUAUUGUAUUAUAUAUUUUAGCGACGAUUUAGCGACGAUAAGUUGAAACAGGGAAAAUUAAAAUUUAACAAAAGCGACGAUUUAGCGACGAUUUAGCGACGAUAAGUUGAAACAGGGAAAAUUAAAAUUUAACAAAAGCGACGAUUUAGCGACGAUAUGGCGAUGAUCAUUUUCAAAUAUUAGCGACGAUUCAGCGAUGAUGCUAUUUUUUGCCGCCAAAAAAUAGCGCGCGUGUGGGAUUACAUCAGCGACGAUGACAGUCAUCGUCGCUGAUAAUUAGCGAGGAGACCUACAGCGAAGCUUUAGCGACGAUCAAUAAUCGUCGCUGAAACCAAUUUAGCGACGAUUUUUGACUUUCAACGACGAUUUCUGAUCGUCACUGAAACGCAGGAAUCUUGUAGUGUCUAUUGCACCGCUGGUACCUCCGGAGGUCAUCUCAAUCCAGCAGUUACCUUCGGAAUGCUCAUCGCACAGAAAUUAUCUCUUCCACGUGCCAUCAUGUACAUGGCGGCAUAGUUUCUCGGUACAGUUUGUGGGGUUGGCUUUGCCAAAGCCAUCUCUGGAUCAGACAACUACACUUAGGUAGGAGGAGCUACUAAUUCCAUAUCAUCUGGAUACACUAAAGGUUCUGCACUAGGAGUAGAGAUUCUGGGAACUUUCCUUCUGGUUUUGACUGUUUUCUCCGCGACCGAUCCCAAGAGAAAAGCCAGAGACUCUCACGUCCCGAUCCUCGCACCGUUGGUUAUAGGAUU